Molecule: ribosomal RNA, 494 nt
Filed under: uncultured bacterium
Lineage: Bacteria
Description: partial 16S ribosomal RNA
Rfam family: Bacterial small subunit ribosomal RNA
Source: RNAcentral
GACGAACGCUGGCGGCGUGCUUAACACAUGCAAGUCGAACGGUGAAGCGCCUUCCUUUUUGGUGGGUGUGGAUGAGUGGCGAACUGGUGAGUAACACGUGAGUAACCUGCCCCCUUCUUCUGGAUAACCGCAUGAAAGUGUGGCUAAUACGGGAUAUUCUGGGUCUGUCGCAUGAUGGGUCUGGGGAAGAUAUUGUUUCGGUGGGGGAUGGGCUCGGGGCCUAUCUGCUUGUUGGUGGGGUGAUGGCCUACCAAGGCGGUGACGGGUGGCCGGCCUGAGAGGGUGGCCGGGCACACGGGGACUGAGACACGGCCCAGGCUCCUACGGGAGGCAGCGGUGGGGAAUAGGGCACAAUGGGCGCAAGGCUGAUGCAGCGACGCCGCGUGAGGGAUGGGGGCCUGCGGGUUGUGAACCUCUUUCGCCAGUGAAGCAGGCCUGCCUCGUUUGUGGGUGGGUUGACGGUAGCUGGAGAAGAAGCGCCGGCUAACUACGUG